UCUGGGGAAGCUGGCAAAGAAAUCCAUCAAAGAAAUUCAGAGGUGGACACUUGCCCGUCUGGAACUUGAGGAUGUGUAGCAUAGUUACUGUAGUCACUGCUGAAGAGGAAGAGGGAGGAGUCAUCGCCAUGUUGCCAUGAUCUUGUCGUUAUGGAGACAGACGUGCUGGGCUUCAUCACAACGCUGCUUCCCUCCAGAGAAGGAGCCUAGCAAGACAGGAGGCUUCGACCACAUCUCUGUUCAAUCCUGUUCUCUAGAGAAGGGCCCCACCCAUGGACUUUUUCCUGGGUGAAUGGGAAUCUUGGGAUAUUUUUAGAUGAAGAAAUUGAUAUGUCCAAGACUACCGGUUUGUAAGUAGCAUAGCUGAUGUUGAUAUCGGGAAGCAUGAAAAGUGGGAAGAGGAGAAGAAAGCCAAUCCAAGGUUCCUACAACACUAUCUAAGGCCAGGAGGGGCCAUGUGGAAUGAGAGUGGCUGUGGACAGAGCUCCUGGAACAAAGAAGUGAUGCAAUUUGAUUGAGAAGCCAGCAGAAUCAAAAGGAAUAAAAUCUUUCCAUUUGCAAUGCA
Suricata suricatta (meerkat) is the source of this 565-nucleotide long non-coding RNA. RefSeq lists it as uncharacterized. The transcript has 5 exons. The record is from RefSeq and is a predicted model, not a curated record. NCBI's taxonomy places the organism in Eukaryota, Metazoa, Chordata, Mammalia, Carnivora, Herpestidae.